UACGAAGGGGGCUAGCGUUGCUCGGAAUUACUGGGCGUAAAGCGCACGUAGGCGGCUCUUUAAGUCGGGGGUGAAAUCCUGGGGCUCAACUCCAGAACUGCCUUCGAUACUGUAGAGCUUGAGUUCGGGAGAGGUGAGUGGAACUGCGAGUGUAGAGGUGAAAUUCGUAGAUAUUCGCAAGAACACCAGUGGCGAAGGCGGCUCACUGGCCCGAUACUGACGCUGAGGUGCGAAAGCGUGGGGAGCAAACAGG
This 253-nucleotide ribosomal RNA is filed under the name uncultured bacterium. RNAcentral describes it as "partial 16S ribosomal RNA". It matches the Rfam family "Bacterial small subunit ribosomal RNA", at positions 524 to 776 of the family's 1533-position model. The record is from RNAcentral.